GGUUAAAAAGCUCGUAGUUGGAUCUCGGCGGUCUGAGGGCGGUUCGCUUGAUUGAGUGCUACUGCUCUAUAGGCCGUGGUUUUGCCAGAGGUCUCGGGGUGCUCUUAACCGAGUGUCCUGCGAUGCUGGCAGGUUUACUUUGAAAAAAUUAGAGUGCUCAAAGCAGGCUUUUACGCCUGAAUAUUCGUGCAUGGAAUAAUAGAAUAGGAAGUCGUUUCUAUUUUGUUGGUUUUCGGAAAUCGACUUAAUGAUUAAUAGGGACAGUCGGGGGCAUUUGUAUUCAAACGACAGAGGUGAAAUUCUUGGACCGUUUGAAGACAAACUACUGCGAAAGCAUUUGCCAAGAAUGUUUUCAUUAAUCAAGAACGAAAGUUAGAGGUUCGAAGGCGAUUAGAUACCGCCCUAGUUCUAACCAUAAACGAUGCCAGCUAGCGAUCUGCCGACGUUUUCUUUGUAGACUCGGCAGGAAGCUUCCGGGAAACCAAAGCAUUUGGGUUCCAGGGGAAGUAUGGUUGCAAAGCUGAAACUUAAAGGAAUUGACGGAAGGGCACCACCAGGAGUGGAGCCUGUGGCUUAAUUUGACUCAACACGGGAAAUCUCACCAGGCCCGGACACUGGAAGGAUUGACAGAUUGAUAGCUCUU
This 643-nucleotide ribosomal RNA is filed under the name uncultured marine eukaryote. RNAcentral describes it as "SSU rRNA". It matches the Rfam family "Eukaryotic small subunit ribosomal RNA", at positions 617 to 1259 of the family's 1831-position model. The record is from RNAcentral.